RNAcentral lists this ribosomal RNA (450 nucleotides) under uncultured bacterium. RNAcentral describes it as "partial 16S ribosomal RNA". It matches the Rfam family "Bacterial small subunit ribosomal RNA", at positions 354 to 796 of the family's 1533-position model. The record is from RNAcentral.
GUGGGGAAUCUUCCGCAAUGGACGAAAGUCUGACGGAGCGACGCCGCGUGAGUGAAGAAGGCCUUCGGGUCGUAAAGCUCUGUCAUCAGGGACGAACGGCCGGUGGAGUGGAAAGCCACCGGAUUGACGGUACCUGAGAAGGAAGCCACGGCUAACUACGUGCCAGCAGCCGCGGUAAUACGUAGGUGGCAAGCGUUGUCCGGAAUUAUUGGGCGUAAAGCGCGCGCAGGUGGGAUCUUAAGUCCAAUUUUAAAGUUCGGAGCUCAACUCCGUGAUGGGAUGGAAACUGGGAUUCUUGAGUACCGGAGAGGAAAGCGGAAUUCCCCGUGUAGCGGUGAAAUGCGUAGAUAUGGGGAGGAACACCAGUGGCGAAGGCGGCUUUCUGGACGGUGUCUGACACUGAGGCGCGAAAGCCAGGGGAGCGAACGGGAUUAGAUACCCGGGUAGUCC